AUGGACGGCAACGGCGUAGCCCUCCCCAGCGACCUCCUCCUCGAAAUCCUCAGGCGCCUCCCCGGCCACGCCCUCGCCGUGUCCCACUGUGUCUGCCGCGCGUGGCGCGACCUCGUCGGCGCCCACGCCCACACCCUCCUCCUCCCGCAGGUCUUCCCGCGCGAGUUCCCCGGCGUCUUCGCCACCUACGACGGCUACGACCCCGACUUCGCCUUCUUCGGCCCGCCGCCAUCGCCGUCGGCCGACGCCCACGUGCCCGGCUACCGGCGUCUCUUCUGGGACCAUUGGGAUUGCAUCGUAAAGCAGCACUCCAACGGCUUGCUCCUCGUCACGGGGAAGCGCUCGUUCAAUCCUAAUAUGAUAUACGUGUGCAACCCAGCCACGUCGCAGUAUGCCCGCUUGCCGUGUCCGCCGACACGCUGGCCGUGUAGCGUCGAGGGCGUGUUUCUCGCCUUUGACCCGGCCGUGUCGCGGCACUACGAGGUGUUCUUCUUACCCACGGAAAAGCUAGAUCGCAACGAUGAGCAAGAUGAGUGGACACGCCGACCGUGCCCGUGCUGGAUCGAUUGGGAGGACACGUGGCUACCCAACUUGUUUGGACAAGACGAACCAUUCUCUGAAUCUAAGGAAGAGCCCAACCAAAAGGUGCCCAAGGAGAAUGUAUUCCACGUGUUGGUGUUCUCUUCACGGACAGGCCAGUGGGAGAGCCGCAAGUUCACGCCAGGGCGCCGCGCCUCGGGAAACCUGUACGAUGUGGUGACCACGCCGCUCUAUAAGGAUCUGCGCACGUGGUGGUCGGCCGAGUACUGGCAUGGCUCACUCUACGUGCACUGCCAUAGUGGUGUCCUCGUGAUCCUGCGUUGCUCGGAGGGGACAUGCCAGAUGGUUCAGCUUCCAGGGCAUCCUUAUGGCCGCAAGAGAUUGCGUCAAUGA
Molecule: ribosomal RNA, 933 nt
Filed under: Triticum aestivum (bread wheat)
Lineage: Eukaryota; Viridiplantae; Streptophyta; Magnoliopsida; Poales; Poaceae
Description: partial small subunit ribosomal RNA
Source: RNAcentral